GCCAGCGUUCACUUGAUUAGAUCUCCAUUCUUGUGGUUCCCAGCCAGUGCCAUCCGGGGAGAGCCUGAAUCAGAGAGGCCGCAGCCAGCGCAGGCAGCACCUGUGUUUACCUGGCUCCACCGCCCGUUUAGAGCGAGCGGCGGCGAGGGGGGAGGCAGGAGGGGGCUCGCCCCGCGCCCGGGGAGGCCGGCUGCUGAGCCCGGGCGCUCCUCUGCCUCCAUCGGCGGGGAGGCCGUCUGCGCCUCGCCGGAAGCGCUGGCAACCAGGUGGAAGUAGAGGCAUCAUUCAUCGUGGGUAUGAGGGGUGCUCUUUUGUCUUGGAAAAAAAUUCUUACUUAGAGCAUUUUGAUUACGUAAAAAUAAAGCCCAAAGUCAAAAAAUUCAAAUCUGGAUUGGAAAACAUGAGAGUAUGAAGAGUAAACUGCUUUGUAUGAUUUUCUCAAAGGUGAUCAUCACUGUGGACUGGGGUGCCUCUCUGGAAAAAGAAGGAUUUCCUUCACUCUCUAGAGCCAGUGAAGACCUAAUGGCCUGGGUUCCGGGCAGGAGGGACCUGGUCAAAGGCCGUGGUGUGUAAAGCUGGUUCCUGAAAUAUGGUGUCAGGACUGAGCUUAAAGGAAGGUUGAAAGAUUGAGAUGAUGAUAAGAGACCUCUUCUUGAGAGAUUGACCAGUGAACUCCCGAGAUACUUUUCCCUUCCUGCAGAGUCAUUCUCUUCUGCUAUCCACAAACCAUUGGUAAAGUUUUGUAAACGAUAUGGCCUGGUCUUAGAAGUGCUUGGAAAAUGAACUGUGUCUGCACAGAGACUUGAGCAAAGUGCAGAGAUUCCCAGCAGCCUGGAGAAGUAGUUGUGAAACUCUCGGAGUCCACCCACAGAGAAGCCUAGAACAUUCAGCAGACAGAGAGGCGGCCCAUGAGAGCCCAUUAAAGGCUGGACUUCUUGCUGGUUUAGGGGUGGAAAGGGGGCUUGUAGGUUGUUACUAGGUAUUAAAUAGAAGGUAACCCCUGGAGCCUGGAGAAUUUGAGAUAUCUCAGGGUCGAUCUCAUGUGAGACCAUGAAAGUCCAGAUUUGGGGUUUUAUAAAUUAAAAACUGAGAGAUGCACCACUCACUGGAAAUCCUCAGAGAUGACCACUACCUACUUGUGAUUAGCUGUAACUAGCUGUGAAACCCAGAGCAAGUCAGGUCAAUUCUCUGAGCCUCAGUUUCAUCACCUACAAAGUGAAAGGAAUUAGAUUGGAUCAUCUCUAAAAUAACGAUUAGAUGAAAAGUUUUGCAAUUCUGUCUCCCUGCCCCCUCACCUUGAUGCCCAAUAAAAUGGGAAAGCUAAAGAAAAAAAA
This 1334-nucleotide long non-coding RNA is filed under the name Equus asinus (donkey). RNAcentral's name for it is "lncRNA (ENSEASG00005033120.1)". The record is from RNAcentral. Lineage: Eukaryota; Metazoa; Chordata; Mammalia; Perissodactyla; Equidae.